Molecule: non-coding RNA, 276 nt
Organism: Vicia faba (fava bean)
Lineage: Eukaryota; Viridiplantae; Streptophyta; Magnoliopsida; Fabales; Fabaceae
Source: the annotation of a GenBank genome assembly
AUGCAUGAGGACGGACGAAAAGAGCAGAGGGUAGCGACCGGCCAGUUCCACGGCGGCGGCGCCGCGAACAAAAAUCAAAAAGUUUUUCAAAAUCUAAAAAAGAAGUUUCAAGAAUCUUUGAGUCCCAACCACAAAUAUCAACACAUAAAUAUGAAAUUAAGAUUCUGGGCGGUUGAGGAGUUUCCGGUGAAGGUUCGCAAAAUCCGAUCAAAAUCGUUGCAAUGGGCAUGUAUUGAAAGCUUGACAAAGAAAGCAAGCCGAGGCAUAGAAAUUUAG